GAUGAACGCUGGCGGCGUGCCUAAUACAUGCAAGUCGAGCGAACAGACGAGGAGCUUGCUCCUCUGACGUUAGCGGCGGACGGGUGAGUAACACGUGGAUAACCUACCUAUAAGACUGGGAUAACUUCGGGAAACCGGAGCUAAUACCGGAUAAUAUAUUGAACCGCAUGGUUCAAUAGUGAAAGACGGUUUUGCUGUCACUUAUAGAUGGAUCCGCGCCGCAUUAGCUAGUUGGUAAGGUAACGGCUUACCAAGGCAACGAUGCGUAGCCGACCUGAGAGGGUGACCGGCCACAUUGGGACUGAGAUACGGCCCAGACUCCUACGGGAGGCAGCAGUGGGGAAUAUUGCACAAUGGGCGGAAGCCUGAUGCAGCAACGCCGCGUGCGGGAUGACGGCCUUCGGGUUGUAAACCGCUUUCGCCUGUGACGAAGCGUGAGUGACGGUAAUGGGUAAAGAAGCACCGGCUAACUACGUG
This 477-nucleotide ribosomal RNA is filed under the name uncultured bacterium. Its description in RNAcentral is "partial 16S ribosomal RNA". It matches the Rfam family "Bacterial small subunit ribosomal RNA", at positions 28 to 507 of the family's 1533-position model. The record is from RNAcentral.